UGAGGUGAAAGAUGGAAUGUUCCAUUCAACGAGGCGACAGCCGAGUUGAAUGGAACAUUCCAUCUUUCACCGAGUGAAAAUAUUCUUACCAUUGCACGAAGAAACAUUCAUUAUUUGUUUUAUAUAAUACCAAAAGUCCAGAACAGACUAAUAGAUUCGUAUGAGAAGCAUUUUGAGGGAUGCGAUUUAUCGAAAACACAAAGAGUGCAAUUGUACUAUACGUUUUAUUCCAUUGCACUCGCGGAGAGUGCAAUGGAACGUGUUCCAUUGCACUCUUGGGAAAUGGAAUUUUCUA
This is a non-coding RNA of Paramuricea clavata, 295 nucleotides long. The record is from the annotation of a GenBank genome assembly. Lineage: Eukaryota; Metazoa; Cnidaria; Anthozoa; Malacalcyonacea; Plexauridae.